RNAcentral lists this ribosomal RNA (787 nucleotides) under uncultured bacterium. Its description in RNAcentral is "bacterial SSU rRNA". It matches the Rfam family "Bacterial small subunit ribosomal RNA", at positions 32 to 835 of the family's 1533-position model. The record is from RNAcentral.
GGGGCAUGCGGGUGCUUACACAUGCAGUCGAACGAUGAAGUUCCUUCGGGAAUGGAUUAGUGGCGAACGGGUGAGCGAAUACUUGAGAAACCUGCCUUUCAUUUUGGGAUAACUCCGGGAAACCGGGGCUAAAACCGAAUACUCCGUCUUGGCGGCAUCGCUAAGCCGGGAAAAAAUUUUGAUGAAAGAUGGUCUCGCGGCCUAUCAGCUAGUUGGUGAGGUAAUGGCUCACCAAGGCGACGACGGGUAGCCGGCCUGAGAGGGCGACCGGCCACACUGGGACUGAGACACGGCCCAGACUCCUACGGGAGGCAGCAGUGGGGAAUAUUGGGCAAUGGGCGCAAGCCUGACCCAGCGACGCCGCGUGAGGGAUGAAGGCCUUCGGGUUGUAAACCUCUUUCAGUAGGGAAGAAGCGAAAGUGACGGUACCUAAAGAAGAAGCACCGGCUAACUAUGUGCCAGCAGCCGCGGUAAUACAUAGGGUGCAAGCGUUGUCCGGAAUUAUUGGGCGUAAAGAGCUCGUAGGCGGUUCAGUAAGUCGGGUGUGAAAACUCUGGGCUCAACCCAGAGACGCCACCCGAUACUGCUGUGACUAGAGUGCGGUAGGGGAGCGGGGAAUUCCUAGUGUAGCGGUGAAAUGCGCAGAUAUUAGGAGGAACACCAGUGGCGAAGGCGCCGCUCUGGGCCGUAACUGACGCUGAGGAGCGAAAGCGUGGGUAGCAAACAGGAUUAGAUACCCUGGUAGUCCACGCCGUAAACGUUGGGCACUAGGUGUGGGUCUCAACCA